AGAAAACUUUGAAGAGGAGAAUUUUGCACAAAAUCGCAGGAGAAGUGCAAAUACUAACAAUGAAGAGAAUGAUGAUUCUGCAGAAUCAAAUAAUCAUCGAGUGCAAAGUGAUGAUGUAAUACUAAAUGAAUCUCGACAAGAAGCUGAUAAUUCUCAAAGGAAGAAAAAUCCACCUCGUGGUAGUAAUAAGUGUCUAAAGUUGAAUAAUUUGUCACAUGGGGAGAAAAAGAUCAUUACUUUUUAUCAGAAUAGAGCUAUUGAGCCAGAAUUUUCACGAUAUCU
Asparagus officinalis (garden asparagus) is the source of this 282-nucleotide long non-coding RNA. RefSeq lists it as uncharacterized. Lineage: Eukaryota; Viridiplantae; Streptophyta; Magnoliopsida; Asparagales; Asparagaceae. The record is from RefSeq and is a predicted model, not a curated record. The transcript is spliced from 3 exons.